GUUAAAAACAAUACAUAUCAAAUAUGACAUAAGAGAAAAUUGGCUUCAUAAUGUAACGCUUUGAAAUUGGGCCUCUGUCUCUUUAAGAAGCUCCAGCACUUUCUGAUACUCCGACUUAAGCAUUUCAUCACAACAUUUCUCCAUUAAGCCUUUAACAUCAAUUUUAGGACAGUUGGACUGAGAAGUAGCUCCGAUGAUGAGCUCAGCAGACGCACAGUUCUACCAGAUCACCCUUUUUCUCAUGUGGGCAGCUGCCCCCACUCAGGGGUCAAAGGGGAAGGCUGCUCUGUGAGGCGGAAGCUCGGC
Molecule: long non-coding RNA, 306 nt
Organism: Xiphophorus hellerii (green swordtail)
Lineage: Eukaryota; Metazoa; Chordata; Actinopteri; Cyprinodontiformes; Poeciliidae
Exons: 3
Source: RefSeq, a predicted model, not a curated record